CUGGCACGCUAACUGAGCCAACUCAAUUUUGAUUUGAGCCGAUCCAAUCUCCUGGUUUAGUUGACUCAGUUGUGAACUGAGCCAACCUAGUUGUCACAAGCACAUGAAACAGGUUAUUAUUCCAUCACAGUGAACUGACCCAGUAGCAAACUUAGUCGAUCCACCAUAUUGAGCCGACUUAGUUGUGAACUAAGUCAACCCAAUUGCUUCAGGUC
RNAcentral lists this long non-coding RNA (215 nucleotides) under Elaeis guineensis (African oil palm). Its description in RNAcentral is "long non-coding RNA (EGUI_LNC023263)". The record is from RNAcentral. Lineage: Eukaryota; Viridiplantae; Streptophyta; Magnoliopsida; Arecales; Arecaceae.